UAGAUACAUAUGCUUAGGAGAUGAAAAAAAACUUCUCAGCAGAUUCGUAUAAUUAUUAGCGUUAUUAGUGUAUGAAAUGAAUAAUUAUAGUAUACUUCAUUCAUUCAGACUUCUUGUUAUGUUAGCAUGAAAUGAAUAAUUAUUAGUAUAUGAAAUAAUUCUGACUUCUUAUUAUGUUAGCUAAGAUCGAUCAAAACGAACCCUUCUUAUUUUUCUCUAUCGUCGUCUCUGCGAACCCUAGCUUUUCACUCUCUGUGCUUCGAUCAAAACUUGCAUUUCAAACUUUGAGCAUGGCUUCCAGAUCAUCGGGUCGUAACAACUCUGCUUCGAAAGGGUUUGAUUUCGCCACCACCGAUGACUUUGUUUGCUCGUACGAGGACUACGGCAAUCAGGAUAAUUAUAAUGGAAGGCACUCCGAUUCCGUGAUCGGAUCCAAUUCUGCUAAGCUUUUCACUCUCUGUGCUUCGAUCAAAGCUUGCAUUUUCAAACUUUGAGCAUGGCUUCCAGAUCAUCAGGUUGUAACAACUCUGCUUCAACAGGGUUUGAUUUCGCCACCAACAGGAUAAUUAUAAUGGAAGGUACUCUGAUUCCGUGAUCGGAUCCAAUUCUGCUAAGGUCAUAAAUACUUUUUAAAAUUUAAAAAAUAUAAUUUUCAACCACAAAAAUGGCGUCUCUCACCCCUGGCAUCCUCUCCAAACAUCUCCAAAAUCUCAGCAACACUGUCGCCGGAGGGUAUCGACAAGAAAGUGGGUGUGAAAGGAGAGAUUGAGGGUUCGGGAAAAGAUGGGUUAGAGAGAGAGAGUCUGGCUUCUCUCUAGAAAUUGCCUAAAUUUCUAGGGUUUUCUCAUUCAACAUUUCGUUGAUAAUGGCUGAUCUCAUAUCUAAUUUACGCAAUUUGGCUACGAUGGUUGAUGGGUUAGUGACUGAAGGUUCUCCUUCGCCUAAGGGGAGUUCGCACAUCGUGAAAGAUUCACUGUUGGAGAGGGAUUUGUUAACAUUGAUGGACAUCGUGAAGCGAAAUGGGGGUAAAAAUCAGUCUUCUGCCUCCGAGAUCGUUUUGGGUAUGAGCCCUAGGGCUUCGAUUGGGGUUCAGUCCGAGGUCCCUACUCCUAGUUCCUUUGUCGAAGCUAUUGGUGGUCUCUGUUCCGAGAUCCGAGACCUUGCUCAGCAACAAAAGCUUUGUUUUGGGGGAGAAGUGGUGUCGAGCCUUGCCGUUGUUCAUUCGCAGCACUGCUACAAAUGUUGAGAUUGAGUUGCCUGUUCCAGCCGAUGCUACCAACCCAAAUGUUCGGACAUCAUUGGGAUCUGCUUCAUAUGCACCAGAAAAGGAUGCUUUGAUCCGGAAAAUUAAUCUUUUCCUGGUGGUAAGGAAUAUAUGCUUAGAGCGGAGUAUACUCUUCCCAGUAUAACAUCUGAAGACGCAGCUCCUGAGAGAAAAGCUCCUAUACGUGUGAAGUUUGAGAUACCAUAUUUUGCUGUUUCAGGAAUCCAGAUUCGUUACCUAAAGAUUAUCGAGAAAAGCGGCUACCAGGCUCUUCCAUGUGUGAGAUACAUAACCAUGGCCGGCGAGUAUGAACUAAGACUUAUGUGAAAAUCCACUUCCACCUGUUGGUGUUCUCAAUCUCUACAAACUCGCAUGAUUUUGCACUUUCGUGGGCAAAAUGAGCCUAUAGGAGAGUUAAAUUGCCCCUAUCCAGACAAAUAGCUAAUUGAGCAAAUUCUUGCGCUUCCGUUUUCUUUGUUGAAGUCAUUGUUGAUUAUCAACCAGAGGUACGCAUCUUUUGGACCUGAAUAUGCCUACCCACAGGGUGUACAAUCCUCACAUGGGUCAGCACUACCUUCAAAUAUAUGGCGUACCAAGCACAGUUAACACAAAUAUUGUCCCAUAUGGACAAAUGGGUCCUCCUCUCUCUGGCAACCAUGGGUAUCCAACCAUUCAGGGCUAUGUGACACCAGGUCGUCAUGUUCUGCAAUAUGGGGGACCCCUCGUCAGUGGAGUAACUACAGACACUAUUGUCAUAACUCAAGCACAAUACCUUGUAGGUAACUCUCUAUCUCUCUCUCUCUCUCUCUCUCUCUCUGCUUUGAGCUGGGAAAUGAGUGUGAAAAUGAUGCAUACCAGAUUUGGCAUAUAGCCAAAAAAAUUAUCAACCUGGAGUUGCUACUAGAAUUUUGUUAACAAUACAUAUUUGCGUAUGUGCAUACGCCUAAGUAUAUAAAUGUCCAUCCAUGUUACACACAGACAUGCAAUUCUAGA
Non-coding RNA from Camellia sinensis, 2257 nucleotides. Lineage: Eukaryota; Viridiplantae; Streptophyta; Magnoliopsida; Ericales; Theaceae. The record is from RefSeq and is a predicted model, not a curated record.